This 492-nucleotide ribosomal RNA is filed under the name uncultured bacterium. Its description in RNAcentral is "partial 16S ribosomal RNA". It matches the Rfam family "Bacterial small subunit ribosomal RNA", at positions 29 to 507 of the family's 1533-position model. The record is from RNAcentral.
AGUGAACGCUGGCGGUAGGCCUAACACAUGCAAGUCGAACGGCAGCACAGUAAGAGCUUGCUCUUACGGGUGGCGAGUGGCGGACGGGUGAGGAAUACAUCGGAAUCUACUUUUUCGUGGGGGAUAACGUAGGGAAACUUACGCGAAUACCGCAUACGACCUACGGGUGAAAGCAGGGGAUCUUCGGACCUUGCGCGAUUGAAUGAGCCGAUGUCGGAUUAGCUAGUUGGCGGGGUAAAGGCCCACCAAGGCGACGAUCCGUAGCUGGUCUGAGAGGAUGAUCAGCCACACUGGAACUGAGACACGGUCCAGACUCCUACGGGAGGCAGCAGUGGGGAAUAUUGGAUAAUGGGCGCAAGCCUGAUCCAGCCAUACCGCGUGGGUGAAGAAGGCCUUCGGGUUGUAAAGCCCUUUUGUUGGGAAAGAAAAGCAGCAGGUUAAUACCCCGCUGUUCUGACGGUACCCAAAGAAUAAGCACCGGCUAACUUCGUG